UGGACAAAUGUGGAGUUGGACCCUUGAAAUAGUAUCAAAUCUUUAGAUUGUGAUGGUCAUUUGAGAUUUCAAUGUUUAUCAUUAUUUUAAGAAUCUGUCCCUUUUUUACAGGUAAUGUUCAAAAUUGUUGUACACGUGCUGCACAAAAUUAAUUGCAGAAAAUAUUCAUCUUCUAUCCAAAAGCUCCACUGGGAUUAAGGUUGAUGUCUUGACUAAUAAUCUGGAGUUUAUAACCAUAAACAUGCGACCCAACAUAAAUAAGACUGACAUCCAGGCAAGACACGAAGACCCAGCAUUUUUACAGUUAUACAACUUGUGACUGUGUCUGAGAAUUCUAUCCAUGAAACUGUCUACUACUUUCCGAAAGCUGAAGAAAGAAAAUACAAAGAACUGCUGGAAUGUAAUUUGAAGAGUUAUUGACUAGAAGACAUUAGGGUGAAAUACAAUAAACACUGGCUGUAUAAUGAGACCACCUGAGCUCAAUCCUGACUCCUUUAUUCUUUCUUUUAAAGAUUAUAUUUAUUUAUUUG
RNAcentral lists this long non-coding RNA (530 nucleotides) under Mustela putorius furo (domestic ferret). Its description in RNAcentral is "lncRNA (ENSMPUG00000025279.1)". Lineage: Eukaryota; Metazoa; Chordata; Mammalia; Carnivora; Mustelidae. The record is from RNAcentral.